Molecule: ribosomal RNA, 498 nt
Filed under: uncultured bacterium
Lineage: Bacteria
Description: partial 16S ribosomal RNA
Rfam family: Bacterial small subunit ribosomal RNA
Source: RNAcentral
GAUGAACGCUAGCGGCAGGCCUAAUACAUGCAAGUCGGACGGGAUUUGGGAGCUUGCUCCUAAUGAGAGUGGCGCACGGGUGCGUAACACGUAUGUAACCUACCUUAAUCAGGGGGAUAGCCUCUCGAAAGAGAGAUUAACACCGCAUAAUAUAUUUUUAUGGCAUCGUAGAAAUAUCAAAUAUUUAUAGGAUUAAGAUGGGCAUGCGGAACAUUAGCUAGUUGGUAAGGUAACGGCUUACCAAGGCUGCGAUGUUUAGGGGAUCUGAGAGGAUGACCCCCCACACUGGUACUGAGACACGGACCAGACUCCUACGGGAGGCAGCAGUAAAGAAUAUUGGUCAAUGGGCGCAAGCCUGAACCAGCCAUGCCGCGUGCAGGAAGACGGCCCUAUGGGUUGUAAACUGCUUUUGUACCGGAAUAAACCCUUUUGCGUGUAGAAGGCUGAAUGUACGGUAAGAAUAAGGAUCGGCUAACUCCGUGCCAGCCGCCGCCGUAA